Molecule: ribosomal RNA, 535 nt
Filed under: uncultured bacterium
Lineage: Bacteria
Description: bacterial SSU rRNA
Rfam family: Bacterial small subunit ribosomal RNA
Source: RNAcentral
AGGGUUCGAUCCUGGCUCAGGACGAACGCUGGCGGCGUGCUUAACACAUGCAAGUCAAGGAGAACAUUUUCUUCGGAAAAUUAUUAAACUGGCGAACGGGUGAGUAACACGUAGGUAACCUGCCUUGAAGAUUGGGAUAACUCCGGGAAACCGGAGCUAAUACCGAAUAAUGCAGCUAAUCCAUAGGGAUAUGUUGUUAAAGCGGGCUUCGGCUCGCACUUCGAGAUGGGCCUGCGACCGAUUAGCUUGUUGGUGAGGUAAUGGCUCACCAAGGCGAUGAUCGGUAGCUGGUCUGAGAGGAUGAUCAGCCACACUGGGAUUGAGAUACGGCCCAGACUCCUACGGGAGGCAGCAGUGGGGAAUUUUGCGCAAUGGACGAAAGUCUGACGCAGCAACGCCGCGUGAUUGAUGAAGCUUUUAGGAGUGUAAAGAUCUGUCGUGAGGGAAGAAAAACCUGGAUGUAAAUAAUGUUCAGGCGUGACGGUACCUCACAAGAAAGCACCGGCUAACUUCGUGCCAGCAGCCGCGGUAAUUC